UGAAGGGUUGGAUGGACGGUUUGCUCUGCUCACCAGGUCAGGUCCGAAAGGAAGCAGCCAGCGUAGUUCUUAACUGGGUCGUCCAGCUCUUCGCUU
RNAcentral lists this signal recognition particle RNA (96 nucleotides) under Alphaproteobacteria bacterium. RNAcentral describes it as "signal recognition particle sRNA small type". It matches the Rfam family "Bacterial small signal recognition particle RNA". From Rfam's summary of the family: The signal recognition particle (SRP) is a universally conserved ribonucleoprotein involved in the co-translational targeting of proteins to membranes. Archaeal SRP consists of a 7S RNA and homologues of the eukaryotic SRP19 and SRP54 proteins. The record is from RNAcentral. RNAcentral also lists the same sequence under 1 other name. Lineage: Bacteria; Pseudomonadati; Pseudomonadota; Alphaproteobacteria.